This 3009-nucleotide long non-coding RNA is filed under the name Olea europaea (common olive). Its description in RNAcentral is "long non-coding RNA (OEUR_LNC004787)". Lineage: Eukaryota; Viridiplantae; Streptophyta; Magnoliopsida; Lamiales; Oleaceae. The record is from RNAcentral.
UACCAAUUCAUAAUUUAAGGGGCAAUAAAAGAAAUAACCCAUGAGCACAGUUUCCAAAGUGGACAAGAAAGCUAAUUUACUUAUUACAGGUAUACAGGCAAAUUGAACUAAUGGCUUCAAGAAGGAUAGCGAAAAGAGAGUCUACUAGGUGAAUCGAUUCUUACGAUGUGUUCAUCCUCGAGAAGGAUAGCGAAAAGAGAGUCUACUAGGUGAAUCGAUUCUUACGAUGUGUUCAUCCUCGGCACCAGACUCAUCAUCGCUCGAGUCAUCUCUUGCAUGACUCUCUUGUAGCUGCAAAUCUUGAGCAGUGUUUUCUUGUUUGCUCUCUUGCACAUCAUGUUUCUUCCGCAAAGUAGAAGACCCCUCUGAUCUGACAGAAACAAGACGUCGUGCACCAUUUGAUGGAACUCUUGGGUAAGACAGACUGUGAGAUGGCUUUACUCCGGUAAAUCUUGGAAAGCUACCGUGGCGUCGUCUCCUGUUGUUGUCUAUCUGAUGAAUUUUAACAACAUACCCAUCAAUUCAUUCGUUUCUAAUUUUGGUCAACUUGUAGAGAAAAUUAUACUUAUCACUGUUCAAUUCCUCCAGUUUUCCAUCCACAUGCAUAAAAUAUUCACAAAUUUCUCUAAUAUUGCUAAAAUAAAAUUUUUUGUUUCACUUCAUUCUGAGAAUUUCCUUCAUCAAAUUUAGCAUCAGAGCAAGCUUGAUCCUUGCAGAUGGCAACUUAAGGUCAUUGUGGGCAUAAAUCAGAAAGAUGGUAAGAAAGGAGAAGAGAUUAAUCUUGAAGAGGAGUUAGGUCCUUUCCAUACAAACCUGAACUUCGCUGUGGAUUGGAAGAGAGAAUUAUUUUGGCUAUUCAUUCAAGUGGAGGAACCACAUAUAGUUAAGAAGUUCUCCAUAGGGAGCAAUUUCAAUAGAUUAUUUAAAGGGGAAUGCCAAUCAUGAAGAUAAAGUUAAAAGGAGCUAUAGUUCAAUGGUGAAAGAAAUUUGAAGAGCAAUGGACUCAACAAGGUAAACCAAAAUUUGGACUGGGAAGCGCAGAAAGCCAAACAUUCAAAGAAAUUUUUGUAUGCAGAUAAUACGGAUUUCUUACAAAGGGGCAGAUGAAUAUGUUCAGCCGUUCAGGUAAGAGAUGCACUAAAUUAAAUUGGUACAAACGAGAGUAAUGAGCAGAUGACAUCUCUUCAACUUAUCAGUCUUUACCAUUUAACUAGACAUAAGAUUGAGUUUGAUUUUUCAAUCUAGGAGAUCUUUGACAAUGUCUGUGGAUGGUAGAAAAGAGGGUUUGUGGUAUGGUGCAAGACAAUCUCUAGUUGGACAUAACCAAACAACAAAUCAAAGGGUAUGGUGCAGUUCAAGACAUUCUAAGUAAACAGAGUAGUCAAAAUAAUUGCUGGGGAUCAACACAUCCUUAGGAAUAUAAUCUCCAUCACAAGGAUCUUUGUCUAUGGGGAUUUCCACAUAUUAUUUUGGUUCGAGAUGCAAAGUUCAUGGGACACUUUUGGCAACAUCUUAGAAGGUUUAGUGGAAACUUAAAUAUUCCAGCACUGUUAGCCUAGAAAUAGAGGAACUAAUUGAAGUUUCAAAUAGGAGCCUCUAAUGCUAGUUUGUAUUGCUCAGGAUCAUGUGAUGACUUAGCUUGAGAUCUUGACACGCAUAGAGUUAGAGUUAACUUAUAAUAAUUCUUUCAACCAUACCUUCCAAAACACUACCUUCGAAGCUACCAAAUGUUUAUAAACCAAAACAUGGGUCAUCUUGUUCCUGUAACCUCAAGAAGCUCAACUAACUGAUAAUGGGGGAUUUUCGAUUGAGCAUGUUAAGAAACUGUACAAGGAAGUGCACUGUGCAAUUUUAACUAGUAAUAACCUGUAAUGUUGAACCAGCAAGGCAAUCACAUGCCUCUGAAGAAAUUCAACAGAGAGACUAGGUGCUACCGCAUUUAGGUCUAAGGCACUCACCAUGAGCUGAAAGCUACAAAAUUUGGGUUGUUUAAGUGUUAAGAAAGAUCAGUCUCUUGCACACACCAUUAUUUUUCCCUGACUGCUUGUAGAUUAUCUUCACAUUAAUGCUGUUGGCUUACAACGAGUAUAUUUUAUUUGAAAGUAAUAAAUGGAGAAAUGCAACUGAAUGUUGAUCUCCUCUCAAAGGACCAUCAGAUAUUAUUGAGGAUAUCUAGAAUGUGAAAGAGGUCAGUUCUGGAAGAGGAAAUAUCUAUGGCAGAUUCUUUGUGAAAUGACCAAGUCCACUAGAAAAAGUACAUAGAUGUUAGACAAAGAGCUGAAAAGAGUUAGAUCCAGAAGUAUAUGAAAUCAUCAGACUUCCUUGCUAGAGGAACAUGGGCAGAGUGUACAGGAGCAUACGUAUUUUUCUUACAAAUUUCUUUGGAGCCAGUUCUAUUCAUAUUGGCCUUUUGCAGUCUUUUUAUUUUUGCCUGCCACUUAUAAGUCAGGGUAUUUUGGCCUUCUUCAGUUAUUAGCUUAUCACAGAAAUUUUAUUCUCUUAUAAAACAUGUACUUAAUCAUUAACCAUCACUACGCAUCUGAGUUCUUAGAAAUUCUUAGGGGACAAAUACCCUAGAAUCAUUUGUAUAUCUCUUAUUUGGUAUAUAUGUUCUACUGGGCCAAGUUGUUUAACAAAAAUAUUGCUAUUUUACCUUAUAAUUCCUUCUCCUGCAAGUUUCAUUCAUCAAAUUGACAGAGCAAAAUGCAAAAGUAAAUAACCAUAAAUAGGUGCUGAAGUUAUGCAUCUUUCUCAUAAUCAUGAAAGUAUUUAAAACCAAAAACAUGAAGAGAUGAAGUUACCAUGCCUCCAAAGAUGCUUAACUGCAUAGCCCGCGCUGACAAAUUGUUUCCUUGUUGAUCAGUCUCUUCCAGAGCAUGGACUUGUCGGCUAGACUUGUAAAAAUGCUCAGGCCAACUCAUUAGACCACCAUGCUCUCUAGCUAGAGGUCCAGAUGGAUGGUCAGCAGAAUGUGAUAUCAGUGAAGAUGACCUUCGCUGAAGGGUUCUG